RNAcentral lists this ribosomal RNA (58 nucleotides) under Rochefortia spinosa. RNAcentral describes it as "partial 5.8S ribosomal RNA". It matches the Rfam family "5.8S ribosomal RNA", at positions 1 to 54 of the family's 154-position model. Rfam says of the family: 5.8S ribosomal RNA (5.8S rRNA) is a component of the large subunit of the eukaryotic ribosome. It is transcribed by RNA polymerase I as part of the 45S precursor that also contains 18S and 28S rRNA. The record is from RNAcentral. Lineage: Eukaryota; Viridiplantae; Streptophyta; Magnoliopsida; Boraginales; Ehretiaceae.
AAACGACUCUCGGCAACGGAUAUCUCGGCUCUCGCAUCGUAGAAGAACGUAGCGAAAU